Molecule: long non-coding RNA, 1743 nt
Organism: Homo sapiens (human)
Lineage: Eukaryota; Metazoa; Chordata; Mammalia; Primates; Hominidae
Gene: TPT1-AS1
Product: TPT1 antisense RNA 1
Source: Ensembl
AGCCCUGGGUGGGUGGAGCGGGGGAAGCGGAGUACGUUGGACCCGGCUCCGCCCUACCCCACGGGGCCGCCUGGAGAGGUGCUGGGAGCUGGGUGGAGCUUAGAGGAAUUAAACUUUGGCCCUGCGCCUCGUCCAGCCUAGGUUCCACCCUUUUCUGGGAACAUCUUCACUUCAGGUCAGCUCCAAGGAGGCUAUCCUUGCCCAUCUUCCUAAAAUAGAGCUCUCAAAACCUGGCUGUUUUCCUUCAGAGCACUGGCCUCCAAUUGCUCCGGUAGAUUGCAAAUGACCUGCUUUCUUUCUGUUCCCGGGCGUUUGGACCCCUGUCUUGGACCGCUGUCGGAUAGUAAAUCCCAAGUAAGGUACCUGCCGUCGGCAGAUUUGAGCUUUCUUCUUGGACACCUAAUACCCAGAGUCCUCCAGGCUCCGGUAGAUUGCAAAUGACCUGCUUUCUUUCUGUUCCCGGGCGGCAUCGGACCCGUCGGAGAGUAAAUCCCAAGUAAGGUACCUGCCGUUGGCAGAUUUGAGCUUUCUUCUUGGACACCUAAUACCCACAGUCCUCCAGGCUCCGGUAGAUUGCAAAUGACCUGCUUUCUUUCUGUUCCCGGGUGGCAUCGACCCGUCGGAGAGUAAAUCCCAAGUAAGGUACCUGCCGUUGGCAGAUUUGAGCUUUCUUCUUGGACACCUAAUACCCACAGUCCUCCAGUAAAUCCCAAGCAAGGUACCUGCCGUCAGCAGAUUUGAGCUUUCUUCUUGGACACCUAAUACCCACAGUCCUCCAGGCUCCGGUAGAUUGCAAAUGACCUGCUUUCUUUCUGUUCCCGGGCUGCGUUCGGACCCCUGUCGGAUAGUAACUCCCAAGUAAGGUACCUGCCGUCGGCAGAUUGGAGCUUUCUUCUUGGAGACCUAAUACCCACAGUCCUCCAGAAAAACAAACAAAGACAUGGAUUUACUGUGCAUAUUAGCAGAUCCAUACUGGAAAAUGCAUGGAGGUUUCAUAUACACCACUUACAGAUGCAGAAAGGCAGUGAACUCCUCCGGAGUAGCUGUCAGGUCACCAUUGAGGUCUGCAGCUUUGAAUCUUCUCUCAUCACGUGGCAGCAUCUUUUUAAAGGUGUGAUGAUCUGAAGAAUCAUGAAACUCUGCGGGGUUUCCUAGGUUUUCAGCUCCUCAGUAGUGACAAAGCCAUACCCAUCAUUGUCGAUUCGAUCAACAAUCUUCCCUAGCCUCUCCUUGCUCUCGUCCGGGGUGAGCUCGUCGAAGUUCUUGGAGUCCUCCUUGCCCAGGAAGGCCUCGUGGUCGUACUGGAAGCUCUGGUUGUCCUCAGGGGGCCGCUCGCCCAGCUCCGAGUCGGGCCGCACCACGCGCUCUUUGCGCACCGUGGGCUUGGCCCGCAGAACCCGCGGCGCCAGCACCAGCGCCAGCAGCAGCCCCAGGGCUAACCCCAGGCGGCCACCGCGCGCCAUCGUCCCGAGGAGAGGGCGGCCGGGAGGGAGACGCUGAGCGAGCGACAACAGCGGCAGCUCGGGAAUGGGGGCUCGGAGCGCGGCGGCCAAGUUUUAUGUUAUGUAUAUUUUACAAGUAAAAAAAUUUUUUCACCUCAGCCUGAACUGAACACUAGCUGACAGACGUUUUGAUUUCUUUGACCAUCACGGAAUCGUGGCCAAGCGCGGUGGCUCACAUCUGUAAUCCCAACACUUUGGGAGGUCAAGAUGGGCGGAUUGCUUGAAUCCAGGUGUUUGAGAU